GCCUAGGCCUGCAGAGACUGCUCAGUCACAGUUGAAGGAGACCUACUGAGUCCUGAGGACAACCAACAAAGGCCUUAACGGCACAGAAGCUCACUCAGCUCACCCAUUAAACCCUGCGGGUCUGUUUCACUUUUUCCUUCCCACACAAACAUUACAGUAACAGUCUGGCCUUCCCAAACCACCACUGGAAACUUCAACUGAACUGAUCAUAUAUCAGUCAACUCUAGGAGACCAGCUCUGAUUCCAAGAAACUGUGACAUUGCCUCCAUUGGAAGUUACAACCUUCACCUGCCAACCUGGACUCAUCCCAUAGGCAAGUGAAGGAACGUUUCUCCUCAUAUUCAUCUCUAGCAACAAAUUUGGGACAUAAUUCAAAUUAGCCUUAAGUUCCUUAAGUGGGAAGGAUUAGUCUUAUAAAUUAGUUUAUAAAUUCCCCCAUGACAUGUAAUAGAGUACUGCAUACACUAUAGGAGCUUAACAAUAAUUGCUACCAUUUGUCAAACACUUUCUUAAUUCCAGGAGCUGUACUUGAAGCUCUACAUAAUUAUUUCAUGCAUACAUUUUGUCAUUCAUUCUAACUCUCCUAGAAAGGUAUUAUCCCCAUUUUUAAGAUGGAGAAAUGGAGGCUUUGGCAAAUGCAUAGACUCAUCUAAGACAAUACAGCUAGUAAGUAGCAGAGUAAACUUUGAUCCCAAGACUGACCAGUGCCAAAGCCUAAAUUCUUCCUACUCUAUAGGCUGUCUCCCUAUAAACAUUUCAUUCCUCCAGUGACCACUGUAUCAAUGAUGGAAAUCCUAGGUGGGCCAAGUUUGGCUCAAUAUAUCACAUAAACUACCUAACAAAGUCCAGCAACAGUAUGGAUCUUGAAGUAGUGAGUAUCAUCACAGAAACGUCUUUCUGUCUGAGAUAUUGUAGAGAGGACCACUACCCUGAUUGAAAAACUGGACUAGAUGAUCUCAAUAUCUAAAAUGAAAAAGCAAAGACUGGAGUCAUAUUCUGAUCAACAAGGCCAAAGUUAAAUUCCAGGUUCCUUUCAUUUCAGAAAAUGCACAUUAAGUGCCUCAUAUAUGAGAUACUGUAUUUCGGAAGACAGAGACAAAAGAAGAGACACAGUUACCAGUAUGGGAGAAUUAUUAUUAUUUAAGCUAGAUAUUGAAGAGAAAUAAGAUUUUAGAAAAUUGGGGUAGAAAAAAAUUGAAAGUUAUACCUAGUAGCAGAUGAAGGGAAUAGG
This 1231-nucleotide long non-coding RNA is filed under the name Homo sapiens (human). Its description in RNAcentral is "HSALNT0302262". The record is from RNAcentral. Lineage: Eukaryota; Metazoa; Chordata; Mammalia; Primates; Hominidae.